CGCGGCUGCCGCCAGCCCCUUGUGGGUCACAGCCUCCAGGAAAAUGCCAUCUGGGCUGCGUUUCCCCAGGGAGGCCCGAGGGGAGGGGGGAUGUUGGGGGGCACACUGCCACUGACUGGACCUGCGCUUGACUGUGGAGAAUCUGCUGCUCUCUCGCUGUCUAUGGCACACCUCUGGAAAAGCCACCGGCACAUCCGUCUGGAGAACCCUGAAGCACUGGAAUGGGCACCCAAAUGACAAAGUGGAUUCUGUCAUCUUUUCAGCACCCAAAUGACAAAGUGGAUUCUGUCAUCUUUUCAGCACCCAAAUGACAAAGUGGAUUCUGUCAUCUUUUCAGCACCCAAAUGACAAAGUGGAUUCUGUCAUCUUUUCAGCACCCAAAUGACAAAGUGGAUUCUGUCAUCUUUUC
RNAcentral lists this long non-coding RNA (409 nucleotides) under Oncorhynchus kisutch (coho salmon). RNAcentral's name for it is "lncRNA (ENSOKIG00005034057.1)". Lineage: Eukaryota; Metazoa; Chordata; Actinopteri; Salmoniformes; Salmonidae. The record is from RNAcentral.